RNAcentral lists this ribosomal RNA (468 nucleotides) under uncultured bacterium. RNAcentral's name for it is "partial 16S ribosomal RNA". It matches the Rfam family "Bacterial small subunit ribosomal RNA", at positions 28 to 507 of the family's 1533-position model. The record is from RNAcentral.
GACGAACGCUGGCGGCGUGCUUAACACAUGCAAGUCGAACGGAAAGGCCCUGCUUUUGUGGGGUGCUCGAGUGGCUAACGGGUGGGUAACACGUGAGUAACCUGCCCUUGACUUUGGGAUAACUUCAGGAAACUGGGGCUAAUACCGGAUAGGAGCUCCUGCUGCAUGGUGGGGGUUGGAAAGUUGCGGCGGUUGGGGAUGGACUCGCGGCUUAUCAGCUUGGUGGUGGGGUAGUGGCUUACCAAGGCUUUGACGGGUAGCCGGCCUGAGAGGGUGACAGGCCACAGUGGGACUGAGGUACGGCCCAGAGUCCUACGUGCGGCAGCGGUGGAGAAUAUUGGACAAUAGGCGGAAGCCGGAUGCAGCAACGCCGCGUGCGGAAUGACGGCCUUCGGGUUGUAAACCGCUUUCGCCUGUGACGAAGAGUGAGUGACGGUAAUGGGUAAAGAAGCACCGGCUAACUACGUG